AUACGGAGGGUGCAAGCGUUAAUCGGAAUUACUGGGCGUAAAGCGUACGUAGGCGGUGAGUUAAGUUAGAUGUGAAAGCCCCGGGCUCAACCUGGGAACUGCAUUUAAAACUGGCUCACUAGAGUUGAGUAGAGGGGAGUGGAAUUUCAGGUGUAGCGGUGAAAUGCGUAGCGAUCUGAAGGAACACCAGUGGCGAAGGCGACUCCCUGGACUCGAACUGACGCUGAGGUACGAAAGCGUGGGUAGCAAACGGGAUUAGAUACCCUAGUAGUCC
RNAcentral lists this ribosomal RNA (274 nucleotides) under uncultured bacterium. Its description in RNAcentral is "partial 16S ribosomal RNA". It matches the Rfam family "Bacterial small subunit ribosomal RNA", at positions 523 to 796 of the family's 1533-position model. The record is from RNAcentral.